UGCUUUGAGACUCGGUGGCCUGCAGGCAGCGGGAGACGAGGGGACUGGGCAGCCUUCCUCCAAGGGGCCCGCAGCUGGGGGAGCGCCAGGCAGGGAGCAGGGACAAGGAGAUCCAACUUAGAAAUAAUGUUUCAUUCAAGAUAAGGCUCGUGGCUUAGGAGAUUGUGACCUGGCUUGCAUCAUUCUAAGACUUCUAUCGUCUGUUUUCAAAACCCAAGGAGGACCUCCUUUUCUGUGUGAUAGUUCCUCAUGCUUUGCCAGCCACUGGGUCUUUAAGGAAGCUUGCCAAGAGUUCCCGGCUGGGAAGGACAGUUCGAGUUCAUCAUAGACAAUGAGCUGGCACCACAGUUUAAGUGACUCACCAACCUGGUUGCCCACUUCAAAAUGUCAAGAACCACACUAUCUAAUUGAAAGAACUGUGUUUUAGCAAAGUGUAAUUGGAUCGCCUGGCAAGAUCAUCUCAAACUAUGUCUCUGACCUUGCCUUUCAGUGGCUAUUUUGAGCACAAGAGGAGAAAGGAAAUGAUUCCUGAAUUAUAUCUUGUUUUUAAAAAUUAAGAUUAAUUAAUACUUGGUUUUAUGUUCAUUCCAUUGUAGGAACUUAGUGAUUAUUACAAAACAGUCAAAAUAGGUCAUAGCAAAAUGAACGUUUAAGAUUAGGUUAAAACAUUCCUCUGAAAUUUUAGUAUUCACUUUUGAAGUGUCAAUUACUAUAUUUCUGUAAUUUCUCAUUUUUUUCUUGGCUUAGAGUCAAGAUGAAAAAUGAUAUUUGAAUCAAAGACAUUGUUUUGUUAUAUAGCCACUCCUUUCUAAAAUGCAAAUCCACCCUCCCCUCACCAAUGCUUUAUUCUUUGUGCGCGCACACACACACACACACACACACACACACACACACACACACAGACAUACACAGAACCAGCACCCAAAUGGUAGAGGAGGUCCUUCCAAGACUUCUAGGACCUGGAUCAUGUAAGCAGUAGAUGAGAAAAUGAAGUAAGAGAUAUAGAGUAAUAACAAUAAAAGUCAAUGAUUUCAUUUUACAAAAAAGUCAUUGUGUAGUACUCAGAUAUUUUUAAGAGCAAGUAUUAUUAUGACUAAAGUAUAUUAUACUUCUAAAUUAUUAUGAUUCUCAUCUAAUUUCAAGCCACACAUAGGCGCCAUUUGAAAGCAUUUUGUGUUACAACCUAUCAACAAAAAUCAACUAAUAGUUUUAUAACGUGCAUAGGUUUACCCCAUGGGGAAUUAAAAUUUUUAUCUGCAAGUAUUUCUGUUGUUGUGAG
RNAcentral lists this long non-coding RNA (1279 nucleotides) under Homo sapiens (human). RNAcentral describes it as "SOX2 overlapping transcript". The record is from RNAcentral. Lineage: Eukaryota; Metazoa; Chordata; Mammalia; Primates; Hominidae.